AGAACACGCACGGUACGUUGCCGCCUUCUUUCAACUUGUUCGUUUUCAAUAUCUAUUUUUAAUAGUUUUUCAUUAUUUCGUUACAUGCAUAAAUUGUAUUGUAUAUUGUUUACCAAGGUAUCCAGGAGGUCACGGUAAACAUCUUGCUUGCUGAACAGUAGCCUAACCAUGGUGCGAUGUAGGUCCGGCAUUUUUUUUAUUAUUUAGUAUAUGCUCACUGGAGUAAACGAGAGACAGCGCAGUUGAAAAUUUCAACAAAUUAAACUUUGCACGAGGUUUAUAAAAAUAUAUUGGAAUUCGGUUUGUAU
Molecule: non-coding RNA, 308 nt
Organism: Cinara cedri
Lineage: Eukaryota; Metazoa; Arthropoda; Insecta; Hemiptera; Aphididae
Source: the annotation of a GenBank genome assembly